Molecule: long non-coding RNA, 2383 nt
Organism: Oncorhynchus tshawytscha (Chinook salmon)
Lineage: Eukaryota; Metazoa; Chordata; Actinopteri; Salmoniformes; Salmonidae
Source: Ensembl
AAAAGAAGUGAGGGGAGAUUUUCUAUACAGCAGUAAACAUACAGUUGAAUAUGCCAGCAUGAAAAAUUCCUCAGAUGGUUUUAAUACUCGUGAUUUACUUUGCUUACAGCAGUUAUGAGGCUAUUGUACAUUUAAUGACCACUAAGUUAGUCAAAUCUACCGCAUGUCUCCUAUGCUGGUAAAAACAAAAGUAUUCUUAGUAUGUCAUACUAAUAAGUACAGGUACGGUUAACCCAAAAGGGCUUAAAUGUUAAUUUAAUCUGUUCACUAAGGUAAUUCCACACCACUGUUUAUUGGGGAUGUUGAUUGUAGAGUGAUUCUGCACAAUUGAAACAGCCUCUACUGUGCAUUAUCUCUUGCUAAGUCAGCCUGAAUGUAGGGAGUUGUUUCAGUUCUUGUUCAAAGCUAGCGAUGGAGCUAAAAUGUACGGGAGUCAUGUUGAUCAAUAAGAUCGACACAAUAUUCAGUUAAAUCUCUUUCAGAUCUAUUCUCUUGUCACUUCGCCCCCAGGGCCAUUGCCUUUGACACAUUGCAUCCACGCCCUAAUACAAAACAAAACAUAGUAAGGAUGUGAAGUCACAAAUGAUUACGUCAUGUGACUACUUGUGAGCUCAGCACAUGUGAUCUUUGAUUGGAGGUAUUGGCUUUUUCCUCAACUCAACGCUGCAUGCUUGUCAAGAAGUUAUGAAUGCAAUCCAGAGAAAUAGUUUUGACGACAUUCGUUGAGGCUACUGUAGAAGCAAACAUGUAGCGUGCACUGUGUGAAAGGGAUUCUUCCAUUCGAGCCGGGUUAACCAGUUUUGGAGAUAAUCUCUUAUUCAUCUGCAAGCCACAGCCAAUGUCGACUGCAUACAUAUUUCAUUUGGUGAUAACCUAGAUAUCUCCCUAGUAACCCAACAGCAUAAACAACAAUGCAUUAUUUGUAGAUGCUGAUUUUUGUUAAUUUCCCCUCUGGAUCAAUUGUUUAUUGGCAACUAUCUGAAAAUUAAUAUAUAAUCAUCCCCUCUCUAGGCUACAGUGCACACAUGAACAAAACACACACGGGCGUUUGACAUGGUUCGCCAUCAGAACCCCAUUGAGUCAAUGGCUGCAUUGUAGUCCUCAGGAAUAUCAUCCUCCACAAAAGAGGGCAUAAAAGAGGUGCUUGGUCAUGUGUACGCCUCAGUGGAAUUCCUGAGUCACCGUCCCCCCCUCCGUCCCCCUCUCAUCUCUGCUGCUGCCUGCCCGGGACCUCCGGUGCAAUAACACGCCUUCCACUGUUCAAGGUUGGUCACACGGUGACGAGAUGAAUGGAAGGCUUGUUUUUCUGCGGCCUCGCCUCGCAUUCACCCACCAUUCAGGGGAGCGGCCAAAUCCAGACUUAACCCUUUACUGACCCAGUUUGACGACAACACGGUCCAAGGACCUGAGCCCUAGGACCAUGCCCCAGGACUACCUGACAUGAUGACUCCUUGCUGUCCCCAGUCCACCUGGUCGUGCUGCUGCUCCAGUUUCAACUGUUCUGCCUUAUUAUUAUUCGACCAUGCAUUUAUGAACAUUUGAACAUCUUGGCCAUGUUCUGUUAUAAUCUCCACCCGGCACAGCCAGAAGAGGACUGGCCAUCCCACAUAUGCUCUCUCUAAUUCUCUCUUUCUUUCUCUCUCUCGGAGGACCUGAGCCCUAGGACCAUGCCCCAGGAAUACCUGACAUGAUGACUCCUUGCUGUCCCCAGUCCACCUGACUGUGCUGCUGCUCCAGUUUCAACUGUUCUGCCUUAUUAUUAUUCGACCAUGCUGGUCAUUUAUGAACAUUUGAACAUCUUGACCAUGUUCUGUUAUAAUCUCCACCCGGCACAGCCAGGAGAGGACUGGCCACCCCACAUAGCCUGGUUCCUCUCUAGGUUUCUUCCUAGGUUUUGGCCAUUCUAGGGAGUUUUUCCUAGCCACCGUGCUUCUACACCUGCAUUGCUUGCUGUUUGGGGUUUUAGGCUGGGUUUCUGUACAGCACUUUGAGAUAUCAGCUGAUGUACGAAGGGCUAUAUAAAUACAUUUGAUUUGAUUUGAUUUGAUUUGAAUACAGACUUUCCUCAACCACCACCUUUCAAUAUACUGUAAAUAGGAAAGAAUAGUCAGCCAUUACAAUUUUAAGACCAUGUGGGUCACCUUCAAAAUCUUGGCCUGAUAGUAUAUUUCUUAGACUAACUUUCAAGUACAAUCCUAACUACCGGUACUAACAUUCUCUUUUCAAAAGGGCUAUUUUCCAUACAGGGCCUUUUGUCAGGGAAACUGUUUGUGUGUCUUCUCGGGCUCUUACAAACAGAAACCAAAUGCCGGCUGCAGUGUUGUGUUCUUCUGCUCUAUACCCCUGUGACCUCUGGCCAGAGUCAAUUUCAAAUGAAUGUCAG